Molecule: long non-coding RNA, 674 nt
Organism: Neoarius graeffei (lesser salmon catfish)
Lineage: Eukaryota; Metazoa; Chordata; Actinopteri; Siluriformes; Ariidae
Exons: 3
Source: RefSeq, a predicted model, not a curated record
UUAUUGUUGCAAUUUAGAGCAUAAGUGGAUAUUGAUUCAAAUUGUGACUGGGGGGGAAAGGUAUCAGUCAUAGUUUGACGGUUUUAGUUGCAGCGGCAUCGUGGCAGCAGUUGACUUUCUACCACUUUUACACUCUUUUCUGGAGACCAGAAAGACAAUAACAAUAGGAUUAUAUAGAUGAUGAAGGCCAGGAGAAGUACAUGGAGAAGAGACAAGCAAGAAAGGCACAAAGGAGAGAGGGAGACCUGAAACAUAAAGGCAAAACAGACACACAGAUGAAGAAAAACAGGGGUACAGACAAACAAAUGGAAGACAGGGACAAAGAGAAGGUAUUCAUUUUAACAAUACAUUUUGGGUAUUUAUUACUACUGUUCCAUGAUUGAUUUGCUGUUGUCUUGUGUCACAGUAGUGAAAGAUACUGUAAUAAGAGACAAGACGGAUGGACAACACCAACUUCUGCCAGUGAGCCCUUGCUGAACAAGUUUGGAUUCCAUACCUCUGCACACCACCUUUCUAUGAAGACUUUGGAGAAGCCAGCAACAAAUUAAGGACAUUUCAAUAAUGUACUGGCUGCAUCCUUUACAAACUCACAAUCCCUCUGUAUCUGUCUCUCAACCACUGUAUUGCCUGUCACUAAAUGGCUCUCUCUCUCACUCCCUCCCUCCCUCACUCUC